Molecule: ribosomal RNA, 469 nt
Filed under: uncultured bacterium
Lineage: Bacteria
Description: partial 16S ribosomal RNA
Rfam family: Bacterial small subunit ribosomal RNA
Source: RNAcentral
GAUGAACGCUGGCGGCGUGCUUAACACAUGCAAGUCGAACGGUGAACACGGAGCUUGCUCUGUGGGAUCAGUGGCGAACGGGUGAGUAACACGUGAGCAACCUGCCCCUGACUCUGGGAUAAGCGCUGGAAACGGCGUCUAAUACUGGAUAUGUGACGUGUCCGCAUGGUCUGCGUUUGGAAAGAUUUUUCGGUUGGGGAUGGGCUCGCGGCCUAUCAGCUUGUUGGUGAGGUAAUGGCUCACCAAGGCGUCGACGGGUAGCCGGCCUGAGAGGGUGACCGGCCACACUGGGACUGAGACACGGCCCAGACUCCUACGGGAGGCAGCAGUGGGGAAUAUUGCACAAUGGGCGCAAGCCUGAUGCAGCAACGCCGCGUGAGGGAUGACGGCCUUCGGGUUGUAAACCUCUUUUAGCAGGGAAGAAGCGAAAGUGACGGUACCUGCAGAAAAAGCGCCGGCUAACUACGUG